Molecule: ribosomal RNA, 650 nt
Filed under: uncultured bacterium
Lineage: Bacteria
Description: bacterial SSU rRNA
Rfam family: Bacterial small subunit ribosomal RNA
Source: RNAcentral
AACGCAUUAAGCACUCCGCCUGGGAAGUACGGCCGCAAGGCUAAAACUCAAAUGAAUUGACGGGGACCCGCACAAGCGGUGGAUCAUGUGGUUUAAUUCGAAGCAACGCGAAGAACCUUACCGGCUCUUGACAUACCAAUCGCGGACUUAAGAGAUUAAGUCCUUCACCUCGGGUGGAUUGGAUACAGGUGCUGCAUGGCUGUCGUCAGCUCGUGUCGUGAGAUGUUGGGUUAAGUCCCGCAACGAGCGCAACCCUUACCUUUAAUUGCCAGCACGUUAUGGUGGGAACUUUAAAGGAACUGCCGGUGAUAAGCCGGAGGAAGGUGGGGAUGACGUCAAGUCCUCAUGGCCCUUACGGGCCGGGCUACACACGUGAUACAAUGGUAACUACAAAGAGCAGCGAUGGAGCAAUCUUCAGCUAAUCUCCAAAAGUUACCUCAGUUCGGAUUGCACUCUGCAACUCGAGUGCAUGAAGUUGGAAUCGCUAGUAAUCGUAGAUCAGCGCGCUACGGUGAAUACGUUCCCGGGUCUUGUACACACCGCCCGUCACACCAUGGGAGUUGGUUUUACCUGAAGCUGGUUUGCUAACCGUAAGGAGGCAGCCAACCACGGUAGGAUUAGCGACUGGGGUGAAGUCGUAACAAGGUACC